Molecule: ribosomal RNA, 435 nt
Filed under: uncultured Bacillota bacterium
Lineage: Bacteria; Bacillati; Bacillota
Description: bacterial SSU rRNA
Rfam family: Bacterial small subunit ribosomal RNA
Source: RNAcentral
GGGCCCGCACAAGCAGUGGAGUAUGUGGUUUAAUUCGAAGCAACGCGAAGAACCUUACCAGGUCUUGACAUCGAGUGACGAAUGCAGAGAUGCAUUCUCCCUUCGGGGCACAAAGACAGGUGGUGCAUGGUUGUCGUCAGCUCGUGUCGUGAGAUGUUGGGUUAAGUCCCGCAACGAGCGCAACCCUUAUGAUUAGUUGCUACGCAAGAGCACUCUAAUCAGACUGCCGUUGACAAAACGGAGGAAGGUGGGGAUGACGUCAAAUCAUCAUGCCCUUUAUGACCUGGGCUACACACGUACUACAAUGGCAUUUAACAACGAGGAGCGACCCCGCGAGGGUGAGCAAAUCUCCAAAAAGUGACCUCAGUUCGGAUUGUAGGCUGAAACUCGCCUACAUGAAGUCGGAAUUGCUAGUAAUCGCAGAUCAGCAUGCUG